GGCCGCGCGGUUCUCGGGGCCGACACCGUGCCGCUCUACGACGGCGGCCUCCCUCACGGCGGUUCGAAGCCGCCGCGCCCC
RNAcentral lists this transfer RNA (81 nucleotides) under Microbacterium oxydans. Its description in RNAcentral is "tRNA-Arg". Lineage: Bacteria; Bacillati; Actinomycetota; Actinomycetes; Micrococcales; Microbacteriaceae. The record is from RNAcentral.